CCACUACUCAGUUGGUAGAGCACAAGGCUUUUAACCUUAUGGACGUGGAUUCGAGCCCCAUGGUGGG
Molecule: transfer RNA, 67 nt
Filed under: Triticum aestivum (bread wheat)
Lineage: Eukaryota; Viridiplantae; Streptophyta; Magnoliopsida; Poales; Poaceae
Also listed under: 1 other name
Rfam family: tRNA
About the family: Transfer RNA (tRNA) molecules are approximately 80 nucleotides in length. Their secondary structure includes four short double-helical elements and three loops (D, anti-codon, and T loops). Further hydrogen bonds mediate the characteristic L-shaped molecular structure. tRNAs have two regions of fundamental functional importance: the anti-codon, which is responsible for specific mRNA codon recognition, and the 3' end, to which the tRNAs corresponding amino acid is attached (by aminoacyl-tRNA synthetases). tRNAs cope with the degeneracy of the genetic code in two manners: having more than one tRNA (with a specific anti-codon) for a particular amino acid; and 'wobble' base-pairing, i.e. permitting non-standard base-pairing at the 3rd anti-codon position.
Source: Rfam by way of RNAcentral